RNAcentral lists this ribosomal RNA (357 nucleotides) under Triticum aestivum (bread wheat). RNAcentral's name for it is "partial small subunit ribosomal RNA". The record is from RNAcentral. Lineage: Eukaryota; Viridiplantae; Streptophyta; Magnoliopsida; Poales; Poaceae.
AUGCCCGGCCGCACGUUGGAGGCCGUCCUUGAGUACAUCGAGGGCGGCAACACGCCGAGGCAGGAAUAUCCCGCUCCCCCACCAUCUCCCGCACACGCGGGAGCUCCUGGAUGCCGAGGCGCAUGGACCUGGCGUCCUCCUCCUCAUCCGGCCGCUCGUCUGGCUCAUCUUCCCUCCUCCCCGUCAGGCCGGAGCCCCAGGACGUGCCGGUCAGCCGGCACACCCGCUGUUGUGGCGUCCGCAUCACCGAGUCCUGCCCCACCUCCACCCGCCUCGAUGGGCCAAAGGUGGAGCCCAGCCUCCCCAUGUUGUAUGAGGCCAUCGCCCGGUCCGGCUUCUCCGACGAGGCCCCCCUAA